RNAcentral lists this ribosomal RNA (479 nucleotides) under uncultured archaeon. RNAcentral's name for it is "bacterial SSU rRNA". It matches the Rfam family "Archaeal small subunit ribosomal RNA", at positions 364 to 848 of the family's 1478-position model. The record is from RNAcentral.
AGGGUGAGGGGGUCCCUNGAGUGCCACCCUCGUGGUGGCUUUUGCGGGGUCUAAAAAGCCCCGCNAAUAAGGGGAGGGCAAGACGGGUGUCAGCCGCCGCGGUAAUACCCGCUCCCCGAGUGGUGGGGACUAUUACUGGGCUUAAAGCACCCGUAGCCGGCCGGAUGUGUCUCCCGUUAAAUCCACGGGCCUAACCCGUGGGCUGCGGGAGAUACUAUCCGGCUUGGGGGUGGGAGAGGGCGGCGGUAUUCCCGGGGUAGGGGUAAAAUCCACUGAUCCCGGGAGGACCACCGGUGGCNAAGGCGGCCGCCCAGAACACGCCCGACGGUGAGGGGUGAAAGCUGGGGGAGCAAACGGGAUUAGAUACCCCGGUAGUCCCAGCUGUAAACGAUGCGGGCUAGGUGUCGGGUGGGCUACGGGCUCACCCGGUGCCGAAGGGAAACCAUUAAGCCCGCCGCCUGGGGAGUACGGCCGCAAGG